This 236-nucleotide ribosomal RNA is filed under the name uncultured bacterium. RNAcentral's name for it is "partial 16S ribosomal RNA". It matches the Rfam family "Bacterial small subunit ribosomal RNA", at positions 118 to 351 of the family's 1533-position model. The record is from RNAcentral.
UGAGUAACCUGCCCUUAACUCUGGGAUAAGCCUGGGAAACUGGGUCUAAUACCGGAUACGACUCCUCAUCGCAUGGGUGGGGGGUGGAAAGCUUUUUGUGGUUUUGGAUGGACUCGCGGCCUAUCAGCUUGUUGGUGAGGUAAUGGCUCACCAAGGCGACGACGGGUAGCCGGCCUGAGAGGGCGACCGGCCACACUGGGACUGAGACACGGCCCAGACCUCCGUACGGGGAGCAG